UACGGGGGGUGCGAGCGUUGUCCGGAAUCACUGGGCGUAAAGGGCGCGUAGGUGGUCUGAUAAGGGUGUGGUGAAAGCCCGGGGCUCAACCCCGGGUCGGCCGUGCCGACUGUUGGACUAGAGUGCUGUAGGGGCAGGCGGAAUUCCGGGUGUAGCGGUGGAAUGCGUAGAGAUCCGGAGGAAGACCGGUGGCGAAGGCGGCCUGCUGGGCAGUUACUGACACUGAGGCGCGACAGCGUGGGGAGCAAACAGG
RNAcentral lists this ribosomal RNA (253 nucleotides) under Gemmatimonadaceae bacterium. Its description in RNAcentral is "partial 16S ribosomal RNA". It matches the Rfam family "Bacterial small subunit ribosomal RNA", at positions 524 to 776 of the family's 1533-position model. Lineage: Bacteria; Pseudomonadati; Gemmatimonadota; Gemmatimonadia; Gemmatimonadales; Gemmatimonadaceae. The record is from RNAcentral. RNAcentral also lists the same sequence under 2 other names.